UCCCUGGUAGUAUAUCGGAUUAGUACACGCGCCUGUCAUUGAGCUGCCGCGCGCAGCGGAGCGCGCGCGAGAGCGGGGUUCGACUCCCCGCCAGGGAG
Molecule: non-coding RNA, 98 nt
Organism: Russula earlei
Lineage: Eukaryota; Fungi; Basidiomycota; Agaricomycetes; Russulales; Russulaceae
Source: the annotation of a GenBank genome assembly